RNAcentral lists this long non-coding RNA (17492 nucleotides) under Ananas comosus (pineapple). RNAcentral describes it as "long non-coding RNA (ACOM_LNC013488)". The record is from RNAcentral. Lineage: Eukaryota; Viridiplantae; Streptophyta; Magnoliopsida; Poales; Bromeliaceae.
UAUGGAAUUAUGCUACUAUACUAUCAAUAGUAGUAAGCCCUUGGUACUAUUGAGUUGGUACUAUUGAGUUUUCGGCCAUUGGAUGAAAGGAUGUGCGGUUAGGAUGAUAGUGGUCCCCUAGGGUUGAGUGGGUAGUUGAUUUAAUAGUAUAAUCUAACGGGUGGAAAUGAUCAAAGGGUAGAUCUAAUGGUAGAAAACUCAAAAGUACCAAUGGCUUGGUACUAUCGAUAGUAUAAUAACCGGACUCUAUAUAUAUGUAUAUACGGCUGGAAUGCUAUUAAUAGUACUAAGCACUUCGUGCCAUCUUGGUCAGUUCCAUCCCUUCGAUCAUGCUAUUCUACAACCCACCUACUAAAGCCUAGGGGGACCACCGCUAAACUCUAGGGGACCACUAUCAUCCCAACACUACAAUUUUUCAUCUAAGGUUGUAAACUUUAGUAGUAAAAAUGAUCAAAUACAAUUAAUAGUAUUCCAGUACAACACCAUAUAUACACAAACAUAUAUACACACGUAUAUACACGCAUAUAUACACGCGCGCACACGUAUACGUAUAUAUAUAGAAUUGAGCUCCUAUACUUUUAAAAGUAUCAAGUCAUUCUUGCUUGUCGGUUUUCGGCCCUUGGAUUAAGGGAUGUACGAUUGGGAUGACAGUGGUCCCCUAGGGAUAUAUAUAUAUAUAUAUAUAGAAUUAGGGUACUAUACUAUCUAUAGUAUUGGAGCUCCGGUACUAUAGUCUCAUUUUUUAUUUUAGGAUGUUCAAAUCAAUGAUCCACACCGUCAAAUAUAAUCUAGGGUGAAGUUCUUAGAAUAAAAUUUUAAUUUUUUUCAAUAUCGUUUACUUAGUAAGUAAAUCAUGUCAAAAUAAACGGUGAAAAUUGAACAAUCUUUAAAAUUUGAGAAUAGGACUUUUGAAUUCAAGAUCAAGUAUGCUGACCUUGAUCUAUAUAGUUUAAAGUAUUUUCUAUCAAAAUUUGAAUAAAUUUAAAUUCUUUUACAUUGUUAAGUUACGAACUCGCCAUAGUAGCCAUUGAAAAUUGACUAGUUUGAAAUGCUUUGAUCAUAAAGUAAACUAUGUCGAAAAAAUAUAAAAUUUUGUUUCUAAAAACUCCAAAUAUUUUAGAUCAGUUUUAACAGUGUGGAUCAUUGAUUUCAAUACCUAAGAUUGAAAACGGGACUAUAGUACCGGAGCCCCGGUACUAUAGAUAGUAUAGGAGCUUAGCUCUAUAUGUAUAUGUAUAUGCAUAUAUCAUGCACAAUAGGUCCAAUGAACAAAAAAGCUUGAUCACAGGGCUCAAAACAUAUAACCAUCUCUCCAAAUAGACGAUCGACACUGUUGAACAUGAUCUAGACCAUUUAAGCUAAUUUGGAAAUCAAAUUUCAUGCUUUUCGGAUAUUAUUUCUUAUCCAUCAAGUGGACACAAAAAUGAACGGAUGAAAAUUAAUAUCCUUUUAAAAGUGGUGAUAGGAGUCUUGUAAUCAAGAUCAAGCAUUUAUAUCUUGUUUUAAGUAGUUUAAAGAAUUUUUUAACUAAAAUUCAAUUGAUUUAGAUAUCUUUGUGCCGUUAAAUUAGAAAACACUUCAUAUCGACCAUGAAAAUUAUAAAUUUUUAAACUCUUUGACCAUUAGGUCAAUGACGUCGAAAAGAUUUGAAAUUUGGUUCUAAGAUAUUUUAAAUGGUAUAGAUCAUGUACAAUGGUGUCGAUCGUCGAUUUGGAAACUCCAUCAUCGAAAACAAAUCGGUAGCANAUAUAUAUAUAUAUAUAUAUAGAAUUAGAGUACUAUAUUAUCUAUAGUAUUGGAGCUCCGGUACUAUAGUCUCAUUUUUUAUCUUAGGAUGUUCAAAUCAAUGAUCCACAUCGUCAAAUAUAAUCUAGGGUGAAGUUCUUAGCAAUAAAAUUUUAAUUUUUUUCAAUAUCGUUUACUUAGUAAGUAAAUCAUGUCAAAAUAAACGGUGAAAAUUGAACAAUCUUUAAAAUUUGAGAACAGGACUUUUGAAUUCAAGAUCAAGUAUGCCGACCUUGAUCUAUAUAGUUUAAAGUAUUUUCUAUCAAAAUUUGAAUAAAUUUAAAUUCUUUUACAUUGUUAAGUUAACGAACUCGCCAUAGUAGCCAUUGAAAAUUGACUAGUUUGAAAUGGUUUGAUCAUAAAGUAAACUAUGUCGAAAAAAUAUAAAAUUUUGUUUCUAAAAACUUCAAAUAUUUUAGAUCAGUUUUAACCGUGUGGAUCAUUGAUUUCAAUACCUAAGAUUGAAAACGGGACUAUAGUACCGGAGCCCCGGUACUAUAGAUAGUAUAGGAGCUUAGCUCUAUAUGUAUAUGUAUAUGCAUAUAUCAUGCACAAUAGGUCCAAUGAACAAAAAAGCUUGAUCACAGGGCUCAAAACAUAUAACCAUCUCUCCAAAUAGACGAUCGACACUGUUGAACAUGAUCUAGACCAUUUAAGCUAAUUUGGAAAUCAAAUUUCAUGCUUUUCGGAUAUUAUUUCUUAUCCAUCAAGUGGACACAAAAAUGAACGGAUGAAAAUUAAUAUCCUUUUAAAAGUGGUGAUAGGAGUCUUGUAAUCAAGAUCAAGCAUUUAUAUCUUGUUUUAAGUAGUUUAAAGAAUUUUUUAACUAAAAUUCAAUUGAUUUAGAUAUCUUUGUGCCGUUAAAUUAGAAAACACUUCAUAUCGACCAUGAAAAUUAUAAAUUUUUAAACUCUUUGACCAUUAGGUCAAUGACGUCGAAAAGAUUUGAAAUUUGGUUCUAAGAUAUUUUAAAUGGUAUAGAUCAUGUACAAUGGUGUCGAUCGUCGAUUUGGAAACUCCAUCAUCGAAAACAAAUCGGUAGCAACGGAGUCUGUUUGCUACUAAUAACAUUCCAGCUCAAAUCUGUAUAUAGAUACACACACAAAUAUACACACAUAUAUGUAUAUGUAUAUGCAUCUAUCAUGCACAAUAGGUCCAAUGGCCAAAAAGCUUGAUCCAAGGGCUCAAAACUUAUAAAUCAAGAACUUGAUGCAUCUAAAAGCAUUCCAAUUCAGUACUAUAUAUAUAUAUAUAGUCCAGCUAGAAUACUAUCAAAAGUGUGUUAAUAGCGCCUACUAUAAACUUCUUAUCCUUUGGAUCCAUAAUAAUACCACCACCAAAUAGUAAAACCUAGUCAUCCAAGAGCUAAAAAGUCUAUAUGUAUACUAUUAGUACUCUGGCUCAAUACUCUCNCUCUCUGGGCAUUUUCGCAGUGAGGGACCGGUCCCAGCUCGGGAAGACCGGUCCCCGAAGGCUGCCAUUUCGAGCAGAGGGAAUUUCGCGUUCGGGAACCGGUUCUUGCUUGAGAGACCGGUCCCCGGGAGACCGGUCUUUGUCCGAGAGACCGGUUCCCGAGAGCUGAGUUUUCGGGACUUAGCCGAUUUUCGGCUAUUUUCGCUGGGCCAACGUUCGGGAACCGGUCCCUUACCACCAGGGACCGGUCUCAUCAGAGACCCCCGCAGCCCAGCCUGAUGGAACCGGUCCCUCCCUGCCAGGGACCGGUCCCCGAGAGCAUUUCUGCUCCAGUGCAAGUUUUGCACUUGGUGCUCUCGCGGGCCCUUCCUUAAUGCACUUUAUGCAUUAUAAACACCUUCGGACUUUCCGAAGCCUACGCACUCGACAACUAGUUGAUUCUGGUCGAAGUCUAAUUCUCGAGUUUCGAGAAUUCACUUCCUUACAAAAAGUGUGUUAAUAGCGCCUACUAUAAACUUCUUAUCCUUUGGAUCCAUAAUAAUACCACCACCAAAUAGUAAAACCUAGUCAUCCAAGAGCUAAAAAGUCUAUAUGUAUACUAUUAGUACUCUGGCUCAAUACUCUCUCUCUUUCUCUCUCUAUAUAUAUAUAUAUAGAGAGAGAGAGAGAGAGAGAGAGCGAGAGAGAGAGAGAGAGAGAGAGAGAGAAACUAGAAUACUAUUGAUAGUAGAGAAAUAGUGUUUGCUAUCUAUUUUUUAUCCCUUGGAUGCAUAGGGUUUACUAUUUGGUGGUGAUAUUAUUAUGGAAGGUGUAAAAAGUUGAUAGUAGAUACUAUUUAUUUGUUAUUAGUAAUAUUGUAGCUGAAGUGUGUGUGUGUGUGUGUGUGUGUGUAGAGUCCGGCUACUAUGCUAUUAAUAGUACGAAGCACUUGGUGCUACCAAGUUUUCCGCCGUUAGAUCUAUCCUUUUGAUCAUUUUCAUCCGUUAGAUCAUACUAUUCAACCAACCACCCACUCAACCCUAGGGGGCCCACAUCAUCCUAACCGCGGAAAACUUGGUAGCACCAAGUGCUUCGUGCUAUUAAUAGCAUAGCAGCCUAGUUAUAUAUAUAUAUAUAUAUAUAGUUUGGUUCAAAUGCGCAAAGGUUGCUCUACUUAACUGUCUUAGGUCGGUUCCUGCUUUGCUGUUACUGGGUUCUUGACAUUUGCAUUAUGUUGAAACUUUACCCUUUUGGUUAAAUAUGUCCACAUCAGAAUGGACAUAUAGUAUUCUGUCAUUUAAUUGUCCCCUAACUUUCACCUGGAGUUCCUCCGUACGUAGCUAAUAGUGUUAAGGCCAUUCUAACCAAACUAAGCAAGGAUCUAGUUUAGAAGCUUAAGAUAGUAAUAGUACAAAAUGUAAGAACCCAGAGUUAACAGCUGAGUGGUUGGGGAUCACAUUGAAACCUCAUAAAAAGGUUGGGCCCCUUGCUACACAUUACCCUCUUAGUUGCCUCUGUAUAUAGAAGUUCAGAAAAGUCUAAGCACUUUUCCCUCUUAGUUGUGGUCGGACGAUUAGUAGUAAAUGAUAUAAUACUGUCUCAAAAUUUUCCAUUUGUUGUGCAUCUUAUUCAGUCUAACAACAUAGGGGAGUCUGUUAUGCUGUUAUGCUGGUUUUCUUGCAUUUGAACAAAAUUCAUUGUGGAGUAAUCUUGCUUCCUCUCAAAAAGUAAAAGAACAAAAAAAUAAUAAUGUCACUGGAAGAGGAUAGCUUACUGUGUGUUAAACAAAUUUUGCAGGUAUGGCGAGCAAGCAGGUGAGGUGACGCAUGAAGGACUCGGUGCAGCAGGACAUGCUAUUGGAACUGCAUGGGCCGUCUUCAAGAUAAGAAAAGCGUUCAACCCUAAGAAUGCUGUGAAGCCAACAUCUUUGGUGAAGUCAGCAGCUAAGGCAGCAGCUGGUGAGCUAAAGACUAAGCAAGGAAAGAAGUGAAGAAUUUGGUUUUUACUGGUCUUCGUCAUUGAAGGACCGCCUCGAUGAGUAUAUGAAACAAUACCUCGGUGAUGUUUCGUGUGAAGAUUGCCUCGCUCAUUAUAUAUGUAUCUUGAUGUUUUUUUUUGCAUGCUGUAGAUUCAAUCGUUGUUUGGUGUGGUGUUUUCCUGUGUCCUAAUGAAAUGCUAGAGCUCCCUGUUCUUUAGCUUGUAUUUUUUUAAAUUUUUUUUCUGUUCUAGAAGCCAGCAGUGAGUAAAUAAACUGGUCAUUACUUUAUGUUUUCUUUCCCUUUUUUCCCGAUUAUUUGAGAGAGAGAGAGAGAGAGAGAGAGAGAGAGAGAGAGAGGAUUUAUUUUAUAUUUUUUCAAGUUGAUGAUGAUUGACUAUUUAGUCGGAUGUGGAAUUCAGUUUUAGUAGUCACCCAAUUACGUAUCCGCUUGUCCACGGUCAAAAGUAUGAGUGAUUUAAAUAAUCCCGCUUAUCCAGAGUCAAAAAGUACGAGUGAUUUAAAUAUUUGCAUGUUCUAGCUGGGGUUAAUUACUUUCAUGUCCUUAACAAGCGUACAAGAUUUCUCUAAAACCAUAUCAAUGUAUCAAUAUAAUAUAAUUAAAAAUUGAAAAACUUUUAGUGAUUCUGUAACAUCUAUUAUCUAUUACUACUCAUUAUUUCUCUAAAAUCUUCCCACAUGGCAGCAUUCUCUUCAAUGUUGUUGGUUGUGGGCUUUACCGGUUUCUUUUCCUUUAUUUGAACAGAACCGGAUUGUCAAGUAUGAGUGCCAAUCUGAACGGGCUCAAGUCUUCCAAAUAAUUUCAUCUUUCUUUGCUUGAACCAAACAUGGUUUCCCUCUGUUUUUACUUAAACCAGAUCGAGUUAAAUUGCUUCAUUGGGCUGAACCAGAGCAAUUGCUUUAUACGUUUUUAUUUUUGAAUCGCAUUUUCCUUUUAAUUGUUUGAACCAAACUGAUUAUAGUUGAGUCAGGUCUCUAUCCUAAACUGGCUCAAGUUUUCUUUUUUUUUUUGACUGAGCCAAACCGGUGCCCUUUUUUUUUUGCUUGAAUUGGUCUGCUUCAUUGGAUCGAACCAGACCAAUUGUUUCAUAGUUUCCAUCUUUGAACCGAUUUUUUUGUUGAGUGAGGGCUCCACAUUGAAUGAAUGUAUUAAUUUGUAUAAGCACCACACUCUAAACCGACCUCGCUCAUUUGUUCUUCUAAAUUAUUUUAUUAUCUUAAUAGUUUGCGGAAUAAAAUUAUUAAGCUUCAACUAAUGAUAAUAUUUUUUACUUCGGAUGUGAACCGCGAACAAUUUAUAAUUACAUAUUCUCAAUAAUAAUUUUCGUCAAAAAUUAUUCUAUCUGUAAACAAAUUUUUUUUUUUUCUCCUUUUCUUUUGCUUCUCUAUAUUGAAUUUUUUGCUUGAAUACUAAUUCUGAAAUUUAUUUAGCAGUGAAAAAAAAAUAUUUUUAAGUAAUGAUAAUUUAUUAAUAUUGUGUUAUUUAACUAAAAAUAUACUUUCUAAUAUUAAUUAUAAAUUAAAUAUAAUAUUAACUGUCUGCCGACUUGCGCUUACCUUAAUUAUUAUGUCAGUAUUCUUGCAAAAUAUCUCUUUUAAAAACAUGAAAUUUUUUUUAUUUUUUUAAUUUAAAGUUAUGAGAUAGAAAUAUGUUAUAGACUUGAAUUAUAUUUAAAUCUGUUAGGCUGAAAUAUUUAGAAUUCAUCCCAUUUUGACUCUUUUUAGUAGAAAGGAGAGUAAACAAGAUUAUAAAUAUUUGGCGGUAUUCUAGAACAAGAGAAAAGUACAUGGAUUAUAUAACUUUAGUAUUCUAUCUCUAUUAAGACUAGAUUAAUAUUGGUGAUCUUAGUCCACAUGGCAAGUUGUCCUUAACUUUUGCCUAUGGGAACCAUCUGUCAGUAUUAUUGCUCUCCUUCUAUUGAACUGGGUUCAUUUGCUAGUGUGUAUUAUUAUCUUCUUCUAAUCUUUGAAUUGGUUUCUCUCUUUCCAUUCAACCGGCUUCUCCUGUUUUCCUUGAACAGGUUUUGUCCUUCGUUGGACCGAACCGCCCUCUUGACAAAAAUUUGGGCUCGAUGUGUUGUCGUUUCUUCUCCCUUUACAGUUGCUUCCUUCACGACACUUCAUCUCCUACUUAACCCUUCUUCUAGAUGGAAUAUUGGACCACGUGCAUUGUUGUUCCUUCCUUCUCCUCUCCCCACCAUUUUCUUCAUUGCUACUUCAUUUCCUUCUAUUUAACUGAGCCCAUGUAAUAUAUCGAAAUCUUGGUAGAUAUUAUUGGACUUUAGCCAAAUUGAGUAAAGCAUCGAAGAGAAAUAGUUGGACAAGUUUCAAUUAGCAUUGCAACAAGGUUGGAAGGGUUAAGAGUGAGUUUAAAAGAGUUAGAAAGGUUUUGGUAUUGAUCGGAGGAAAAUAAAAUCGAAAAGAUGCAAAAAUUUGCAGUUUGGGCAUUUUGUACCGGUACAGCAUCAAUGUUGUACCGGUACACAUGUGGUAAACCGAGAGAAGCUGCUCUUGGGUUCAGUUCUGCGCGAUCGUGUUACCGGUGACACCAAGACCUGUACCGGUACACUUUGGGUCUAGCAGCAAGUUUUAGUCUGCUGCAAUUACAGAUUUUUGGGGGGCUUGGUUGCUAUUGUUGCAACCUAUAAAUGACCUCAACCCUCCCUCUGGUUCACAGCAACAGAAGACACUCUCUCACACCUAUUUUCUCUCUUUCUCUCUCUAGGAAUCUCUUUCCAAAGGCAAGAAAGAGACUAGGAGGUGGAUUUUGGUGGAGAUUUGGUGGAUUUGAAGGGUUUGAGCUCUCCUAUAAGGUGGACCUUGUAGUGCUCUUGGACUAAGGUGAGCUUUUAUGCAAGAAUGGUCCUAAGGUUUGGAUUUACACCCUAAGUCUUGGAGUUUUGAUUUUCUUGCAAGGCUAAAAGCUUAGUAGAGGCCUUGAACCUAUGAAAAUUCAUGGUUUCUUCAAGUGCUCUUAUGGUGAACUUCUAGCGUUAGCUUUAGAUGCCCUAGGAAUGGUUCAAAUGGCUUAGAAAUGGUAUUAGAGAGUUUUUUGGAUGGUUCUAAGCUUGUUUUUGCUUAGCUCCAAGAUCAAUCCAAGAAAUCUAGCAAAAUGACAUUAUUAGGGCUUCAAAUUAGGGCUUUUAUUCAAGGUUGGUUUAAAAGCAAAUUAACCUUAUAGAAACCUAAUUAGGGGUAUAACGAACGCGUUGGUGCGCUCGGUUCGACAAUCCGAUGAGUGUACAUGAAGAUAUUGAUAAAAACGCCAUUUUUGGUACAGAUAGCCGCAGCACGCGGGAUAGGCGUCCAAAAAUUCCAAUAAUUGAACCGUAGCAUCCUUACAACUAUCCAAGAUGGGGGGUGCCUUUCGGAAUCAUCGGAUUCCCUUCUAUGUCUAUGUUACCUUUUAUUGAGCAUAUAUGUGAAUAGUGUCAUUCAUGCAUGAUAGGAUAGUUGGCAUGUGAAUAAUGGUUAGAACUUCAAUAUUAUGCUUCUAACGUAGAUGAACAUAGUGAUUGAUAAAGAACCAUAUAGGACAUGUAUAUUGGAACCCUAUAUUUGUGUGAAUGUGACAUCGGACUAUGAUAAUAGUAAACGAACGUGACAUUGACAAUAAAGACAAGAUUGUCAUUGAGAAAUGAGUUGUUAAACAUUGUUUAACCUAUUGUGGCAUUAGGGCAAGAGUAGCCUAGAGAGUGGCAAAUUUGAUAAGGUUGAAAUCUAUCAUUUAUAUAGUGGCAUUGUGGCUAGUGGCUAUACGUUCUCAAGUUGAGGAUCGGAUCGAUACUCAUAUCGAAUCUUGGCUUGGGGGUGGUAGCGCAGUCCCUGAAGACGGUCCCUCGGGUGGAAGUGCUUGGAGCCUCCCCGAAUAAAAAAGGAUUUUGGGUUGUGAGUUAUUGGGGUUAACAAGNAGUGUGGCUAUACGUCCUCAAAUUGGGGAUUGGAUCAUACUCACAUUGAGUCUUGGCUUGAGAGAGGUAGCUCCCCCUCAAGCGGUGUGUUCCGAAAUCGACACCACGAGAGCGCGGUCCCUGAAGAUGGUCCCUCUGGUGGAAGUGCUUGGAGCCUCCCCGAAUAAAAACCGAUUUUGGGUUGUGAGUUAUUGGGGUUAACAAGGUUAACCGGUAUGAUUGGCUAUAAGCCAAGGUAUAUUGUGGAAAGAGCAUGCAUGCAUAUUCAUCAUACAUAUGAUUAUCUAUCUGUUGACAGUUUUCUUGUAGGCAUAGUAUUAGUAUUAGUAUGGUUUGCUAUUUCCUUUCUUUGAAAUACUUAUGCCUAAAUAGACCUAGUGGGUAAGUCGGCGAGGUCGGUGGCCGAACCUACUGGAAACUUCGUUGUAGUUCUUACACCACUAACCCUACAGAUCCGAGCGCGAGCGGGGCAGCGGAGGAUCGAGGCAAGGGUAUAGCGCCAUUUUCGGGUAGGGUAGGCUCGGAGUCAGAAGUCCUCUCUUUCCCAACCAAAUAAGCACUUUUGCAACACCUUCCUUCCCGCGGUCAAAACAAGACUUGCAGAUAACAAUCAGACCUUACCAGGGACAGGGACCAGACUAUAGAGCCUAAUUAAUUAAAAAAAAUUCGGGCUUGCUUUCUCAAUUCACAUCUAUGAGCGAUGAUUCCUCUAUCUCUUGCUCGCUUCGAUCGGACUCUGACAGCUUAGGGAAGAAUGAUGGGUCGCUAACAAGGCCCCUAAAUGACCGCUUAGAGGGCCUACCCAUUUUUUUUUCCCAAUCCGUCACUUGCUCGUCUCUCUCUCAUGAAAGAUUUUCUCUCCUCUCCCGGCGGCUUUUACUCAUGGCUAUAGCCAGUUGCUAAGACGAUUCCCAUUCAAGCAUUCUCAUUCAACGGUCUAUCAAUGCUGCUUGUUCCAAAUUCCUUUCUUUCCACUAGUCCAACCCAAAAUACAUGAUUGUUUAUAACUUUUAUAUCACUUGAUCAACAAAAUAAAAGCUGAUACGUACAUGAACAAAAGGGAAUGACUAUAAAUGUAAAAUCCGGUGGCCACUAGCUAUGGUCCUGCAGUUGCCAUGCAUCGCCUCUCUAUUGACCCCGCGGUCAAGCCCGUCAAGCAGGCCCAAAGGCGAUUUCGUCCAGACUUGCAAGGACAAAUCGUUGCGGAAGUUGAUAAACUCAUUGCAGCAGGAUUUAUUGAGGAAGUCCAGUAGCCGAUCUGGUUGGCGAAUAUCGUCCCAGUCUUCCCUUCUCUGAUCGGUCCUGAGGAUCCUCAUGGAUUCUCCUUCCUGUUUCGUCCAAUCUUUUCCUUCUAAUCACUGGCUAAUGCUCAGCCAUUGCUAAUUCGAAUUCUAUUCCAUUUAUCAUUCUUCUAAUUCUCGAGCGGCAGUUCUACUGGUUGCUAAUUACUUUCCUUCCUGUUUGUUAAAGUUAACCACUUGCCUGUAUUUUCCCGCGAUAUUUAGAAACUUCCUGCAUCUGGCACUAAUUCAUUUUUAACGUCUAAUUAGAUUAGAUCGGGUAAUCAUUCCAAUUAAGAACAGAAGCUCGUUGCAGUCUGUCGCUUUUGACCACUCGGCCACUCUCCCCAUCCCGGGCCGACGCCCCCCGAUCAGGGUUCCUGAAUAAGAAGGAUGGCGGCCUUCGUUCUUAAGUUAAGAAGAUUGAAGGGAACUAUUAGAUUAGCUAGCGUUCCGGGAGAAUAAAUAAGGUCAUUUAGUAAGUUCAUAACAAUUGCUGUAAAGCAAGGGGCAAAGCUUCUACGACAGCUUCCCCCUCAUUGCCAUCGUCGGCCUUCCCCAGCUCCCCUCCUUCGUCCCUUCUGGCUAAGCAUCUUUCGGCGGAGGAAAGGAGGCGAGACCUCGCUUCUGGCGAAGUAGCGAGUUCAUGAGCAAGUGAAUGAACGAGCUGCGAGUGAAGUGCAACAGUCGUAAGGCGAGCCAUGUUCCUAAAAGGAGUGACCAUCUUUUCUUCCCUUCUACUGACACUGAGCGAGCAGCAAGCGUAGGCAAUAGUUUCUGUAGGGGUGGGGCGCAAGCAAGCCUUUUCAGGCUCCGCUAGCUAGCUAGCGUACUCUUCUACUAUCAAUGAAAUCGAAAGAAAAGAAAAACCAGUGCCCUUUCGUAUAGAUUGAGACGCAGUACAUUUUUCUUUACUUCUUCCAUAAACGGAAGAAUGGAAGGAAAUCGUUCGAUAACACUUCUUCCUUAUUUGAAGAAAUGAUAUCCUCGUGGAAACUCUUUCAUUUCAUAGAAGUUCUUCUUCUUAAGAAGCAAAUAGCAUUUCCUAUUUCUUUGUCCCCUGGACUAGACCUAUGUUGAUUCUGAAUUAUCCGUCGCUACGCUGUUCCCAAGGACUAGCAGAAUCGAAAUAGCGAAAUUCUUGGGUCAUCUCAAUGGGUUCAGAAACCACACGUUUCUCUGGAUCAUCAUAGCGUACUUCCACAUAUCCACUCAGAGGAAAGUCUUUUCGUAAUGGAUGACCCUCGAAACCAUAAUCUGUUGAUAUACGGCGUAAAUCCGGAUGAUUGAUGAAAGAAACACCAGACAUAUCCCAUACUUCUCGCUCCCACCGGCCGGCUGAUGGAAAUGGACUGACUACCGGAGAUAUUCGUGUUACUUCGGCUGCACUUGUUUGUACACGAAAGCGUGAGUUAUUCGCCAACCAGAUUUGACCAUUUUUCUUCCUGACUGGGACGAUAUUCGCCAACCAGAUCAGAUACUGGACUUCCUCAAUAAAUCCUGCUGCAAUGAGUUUAUCGACCUCCGCAACGAUUUGUCCUUGCAAGUUUGGACGAAACCGCCUUUGGGCCUGCUUGACGGGCUUGACCGUGGGGUCAAUAGAGAGGCGAUGCAUGGCAACUGCAGGACCAUAGCUAGUGGCCACCGGAUUUUACAUUUAUAGUUAUUCCUUUUUGUUCAUGUAUCAGCUUUUAUUUUAUUGAUCAAGUGAUGUAAAAGUUGUAAACAAUCAUGUAUUUUGGGUUGGAUGAUUAUGAUGUAAAGAAAUUAUGAAUGAAAAGAAAAUGAAUGUAAUAGUUUUAGUUUACUUAUAUUUGGUUAAAAUGUAAUCAAAUAUUAUGUAUGUGGUUCCUUGUAGUAGUUUAGAGCUUUCGCUUAUUUUGUUGCUUGCUCUCGUGCAAGCCUUGUAUAAUUGCAAAUCUCAUUGUUUGAUUGCUUAAUUAUAUUUGUUGCUAGAGCCUUGGGCGAGCAGGGGAGGCCAUGUCCGUUCGGCGUCUGUUGACGUGGCCCGAAUCCGACCAAAUUGGCGGAGCUCGGGGCGUGACAGCCUACCUAUUGAAUCCCCUCCUGAUGGAAAAUUGGUCCCGAUGCGUUGUCUUUCCUUCUCUCCUGACCUUUGUUUUCUUUAUGAUGGACGAUUUGAUGCUAACACUGAAGAGUUGUUCUUCGCCGUUUCCACUACUUGCCAGGGGCUAUUUAAUAAAACUUCCAUCAUCACUUGCUUUGCUGUCAGGGUUGUCUACUACUCUAAUAAGACCUCCACCAUCACUUGCUCUGUUGCCAAGGUUGUCUAUUCCUCUACUCCGGUAUCUGACGUUUUGUUUGUGUAUUAAAAUUUGCCUAUUGUAUAUAUAUAUUUUUAAAAUGAAUGUGUUCUCUUUGACCCAGAAAAUUGACAAUAGUGGCUACAAUGGUCAUCCAUUAUCACUUGUUUAGCCAAAGAUUCUUCAUUGAUUUAUAUCUUGUAUUUUGUUUGUGUUCUUCGAUUUACCUAUAGUAUACAUAUUUCUUUUAUAUGAAUGUUAUUCUCUUUGACUCAGGAAUCUGUAAGUGGUUACUUGCAAUUGUCGUGCUUUUAUUGGCCUCUACGAACAUUUUGUAUUGAAUUUGUAAGCUUGUAAUAAUUGAGGGGCUAAAAUGCAAUUUUUUCUUUUAUUUUAAUUAAAGUACGAUGAUUUCAUCAAAUUUAAUUUUCAUGCUUUUAAGGGCCUCUACUGUUCAUUGGCACGUGUUAGUGAGGUAUUAUUGUCGUCCUUGUGCAUUUAAGGGAUUCGAAAUUUUUCAGUGGAACCAAACAAAUUUAAGAAAAUGACCACCUAGAAAUCAAGUUAUCAUUUUAUUUGACUUUUUACAUAAUUUUUGAAAACAAAGAGUCCUAUAUACAAGUACAUUAAGAGAUGAAAGUCUAAAGCCAAGUUUUGUUGAAAUUGGAGUUUCGACGAAAUUACGGGCAUCCUAACUUGGCGCUUGCACAUAGAUUUCGUGUGUAGAAAUUAUUUUGUAGGUGUUCCUUCAGAAUUGUCGCUCGUGGAAGGGGCUUCAACACAAAAAAUAUCCUGAGGAAGGAUUGUCUUCACGAUUGAGAGGAGGUGGGAGGGCCGUCAUGCAAUUAUUGCAGCCCUAAAUCUGAGUGGGAUGAACCAAAUCGAUCAGCUUGGUUCCCAAAAUCUGAUCCAAUCCUUUUUCUUGUGCAAUUGUUUUCUCCCCACCUCUGAUCUCUCUCUCCCUCUCGUCUUUCUCUCUCUCUCUCUCUCAGCCCCACAUGAGCCUUCACCUCUCCCCACCAUCUCCAUGCACAACACCAGCGGUCAAAUGUUGGCACGCCUCAAGGCCUCAGUGGAAGCUUACUAGGGCACAUGCACAGACUUAUCGUGUACACAAGGCCACCGUUGUAAGCACAAGGCGUUUAUAAUCAAUCGACAAUAUCUAUCAAUAAAUGAUAUGCACAUCCUACAAGAUGGAUAAUCAGAGCAUAUAACAUAAACUAGAACUACUUUAAACAUUUGAUAUACAACCAUCCAUCAUACAGAAUCAUAGAUUUCUACAUCACAUAGCUCCAACAUGGAAAUAAAACUUCAAAUAAAAUACCCCUCCACAUAAGGUAUAUCUCCAACAUAUAGAAGAAGAAAUUAAUAAAUCUCACAUACUAUAUAAUGUCCAUCUCUCAUAUAACACCUAAAAUGAAAGUAGAUACAAUGAGACAACCUCUUUGAAUUACAAGGCGAGACAGCUUUAGCUAAUGGUGACACCCUUGCCGUAAUCCUCAGACUUCCCUUUCUAGAGGGCUUUGACAAGUAAAAACAGCAAAUUAAUGGGAGUCAGAACUAUGAAAUAUAAUUCCUAGUGGGUACCGCUGCUAAGAGAGGCAUACUACUCUACUAGGUUAACUAAGGCAUGUGUAAUACUAUGAACCGCUAGAAUAGAAAUAACUAAAAUGAAAGAGCUGUAACUGUAAGCUACUACUAUGCCUCCAAAUAGUAAAGCAUCAACUAUAUGAACCCAACUACCAUGUAUUCAUCAACUAUUUAGAGAAGUUCAAGUAUCCAUAUUUUACCCAAUCUCUUAAUAACUUAUACAAAGUAAAGUCCUAGCCUGUGUUGUAUGUCAUGGUCUUGUGGUAGUUACCUCUAUGGCGCUAUGACUCCCCCACAGCAUCCCAAUCUGACCUCGAUUGUUGCCGUUCUUGAUCUCAUACAACAUGCACAAGCAUAUGCCCGAGAAGUCUAGCGGAUUUGACAUUUGGAUCUCACACAGUGCACAUAGGUACACCUAAGAAGUCUAGCGGAAUCAUCGCAUUUGAUCUUAUAUAAAGUGCACAUGUAACACUCGAGAAGUCGAGGGGAAUUGUCGCUUUUGAUCUUGUAUAGAGUUUAUAUGUUUGCGCCCAAGAAGUCACCGUCUAUUCUCAACCUUGAUUGUCAACCUUUCUAAGUUCCAUGACAUCGAUGUUCAAUUAGUGUCUCGAAUACUAUGUUUUCCAACCUACGCUAGAUGGCACUAGGUUUAUUAACACAUAUAUGUCAGAGAAUGUCAUUUUUCUUGUUGUCCAAACCUACAUGAUUCAUCAUAUGUCUAGUUCUUGUACCUUGGUAGAAAUUUAUCUCAAGUAAAAUAUAUUUACAUACAUACCAUUUUACCAGUUAUGCUACCCUAUAACAUGCAUAAACUGUAUAUUGCUAUAGACAUUAGAAGUGACCAUUCUACUUUGGUAAUGCAUUACCCACCUCGAUUUACUGUAAAUUCCUUAUAGACACGUAAUUAGGACUUCGUAAAUGAAUUGCUUCUCUCCAAGUCAAUCUGCCAAAAACCCUCAAAAUCAGCUCAAAUCUUCAAAUUGGCCGCCAAUACUUUAUUGUUCCUCAAAUCUUUGCUAUCUCACGAGUUUCUCCAAUCUCCAAUUAGAGUUUUCAAGGGUCAAAAUAUUUUUAAACCCUCCACCUAGAAAAACCCCAAUUUUGAUCUAUGGUUUCACAAAACUUCAACAAAAUCCCAUUUCAAUGGCAAAUCUCUACACUUUAUAGCCUAAAUUAGCUAGGAUUUGCCAAAAUCCCUUUUUCUAGGAUUAGAUCCAAAAUUUUGACUCGAAAUCUCAAAAACCCACCUUCGCUUUUGCUUCUCCAAGCUUUUUCUUGCCCAAGAAGCUUGUUCUCCUCCUCAAGAAGCUCCUCCAAGCUUGCUCCUUUAAGCUCCAAACUCUAGGACAGAUUUCCUAGAGAGAGGAAAAGAAAUGGGUUGACAGAGGAAGAGAAAUAUUUUCUCUUGGUCGUGGGGAAAUAGCUGUGAAAGGGGCUAGGGUCCCCUUUCAUAUAGUGUUGCAACAAUUGCAACUAAAAUUCUCCAAUUGUCACAAUUCAUAAACAACCAAAAUCUAUAUAUCACAAUGUUGAGUAUCAAUACUUAACUUCCUACUACCUGUGUCACACCCCGAGCCCCACCAAUUUGGCCGGUUCAAGCGCGUCGAACAGACGCCGGACGGACAGCACCUCCCCUGUCUGCCCAAGGCUCAACAACAAGAUCAUGCACAAGAAUUUGCCUAGGUAAAAUUCAUUCAACAUACAUGGUGAAUGCAAGAAGCACCACAAGUGCUAUACAAGUAAGAGCAAGAAUCACGAGUACAUACAAGUGAAUAAAAGAGAGAUAUAACCUAGCUAUUACAUCACAUUCAACAUUUACAUUGAUUGGAUUUACAUUUCCAUCUCCCAAAAAUGAAUACAUGAUCCUCUCACAAACAUAAUGCUAGCUAUCCAAAAUACAUCAUGUCUAUAAACAUGCACACGAGGGUGCUCUAGUACAAAUAGAAAACUCUACUAGUUAGCUAGGGCGCUACGCCUUUACCGCGAUCCUCCCCCGGAACGCUCGCACUCGGCCCUACAACAAAGUGGGGUGAGAACUAUAUAAAUAUAGUUUCUAGUGGGUUCGGCCGCCGACUCCGCCGAUCUUCCCACUAGGUCUAAGCAGGCACAUAUAGAUAGAUAGAUAAAUAUGAAAUUACAACUAUGCUCUACUAUGCCUUCAAAUGCAAGCAAUGCAUGGAAUAUCAUCUAGCAACAAGCCUACUAUCAUGCUAGUAUGCUUCAACAAUAUCAUGAACAUAAAUACGAACAUAGUUAUGCAAUCCACUAGGCUACCCCGCCUAAGAUGGUAUGAAUGCAAGUCCACUAUGCUAUGAAUACAAGUCCACUAGGCUACCCCCCUAAGAUCUCAAAUCUCAUAGAUACUCACACUACAAAUCUAGUAGGUGAAGAGGUGAAGAGCUACCCCGCUCUUCGCCCCGACUGAUAUCUUAAAUCUCACAGGUGAGGAGCUACCCCGCUCUUGUCACGCCCCAAUCCCCACCAAUUUGGUCGGGUUCGGGUCACGUCAACAGACACCGAACGGACAGAGCCUCCCUUGUUCGCCCAAGGCUCUAACAACAUGUAUAAAUAGGCAAUCAAUAAGAGAUUUGCAUAUAUAAUACAAGGCUUGCACGAGGGCAAGCAACAACGGAAGCGAAAUCUCUAAGCUAAUUAAGCAACAUACAUGAUAUUUGAUUACAUUUAAACUAAAUUCAAGUAAAACUAUUACAUUUUUCCAUCAUAUCUUUUUACAUUUAGUCAUCCACCAAAUACAUGAUUGAUUACACUUUGCAUCUCUAAAUCAACAAAAUAAAGUUGAUACAUGUAUAUUAAAAAGGAAUGACUACAAAAUGUAUAGUCCCGGUGGCCGCUACCUACGGCGCCAAACCCUUGCCUCGGUCCUCCGCCGCCUCGCUCGUGCCAGGACCUGUAGGGUUAGUGGUGUGAGAACUACAACGAAGUUCCCAGUGGGUUCGGCAUUCGACCUCGCCGACUUACCUACUAGGUCUAUUCAGGCAUAAGUAUUUCAAGGAAAGAAAAGUAACCGGUACUAAUGCAUCUAAUACUAUGCCUGCAGAAGAAUAUCAGUGGAUUCAAAUACUCAAUGCGAUAAUAGGAAAUGCAUGCAUGCUCAAAUCACAAAUAAGCUUUGGCUCUUACCCAAUCUUACCGGUUAACCUUGUUAACCCCAAUAACUCACCACUCAAAAUCCCUUAAUAGCGGGGGACUCGAACCUCCCUAGGGACCGUCAUCUGGGGGACUUUACCACGCCCAGUGGUGACCAACUCCGGAG